This 253-nucleotide ribosomal RNA is filed under the name uncultured bacterium. Its description in RNAcentral is "partial 16S ribosomal RNA". It matches the Rfam family "Bacterial small subunit ribosomal RNA", at positions 524 to 776 of the family's 1533-position model. The record is from RNAcentral.
UACGUAGGGCGCAAGCGUUGUCCGGAAUUAUUGGGCGUAAAGAGCUCGUAGGCGGUUUGUCGCGUCUGCUGUGAAAACUCGAGGCUCAACCUCGGGCUUGCAGUGGGUACGGGCAGACUAGAGUGCGGUAGGGGUGACUGGAAUUCCUGGUGUAGCGGUGAAAUGCGCAGAUAUCAGGAGGAACACCGGUGGCGAAGGCGGGUCUCUGGGCCGUAACUGACGCUGAGGAGCGAAAGCGUGGGGAGCGAACAGG